Peromyscus maniculatus bairdii (prairie deer mouse) is the source of this 161-nucleotide non-coding RNA. NCBI's taxonomy places the organism in Eukaryota, Metazoa, Chordata, Mammalia, Rodentia, Cricetidae. The record is from RefSeq and is a predicted model, not a curated record.
GGUUAUACUUCCAAAACCUGUACUCCACAAAAUUAGAAAAUCUGAAAGAAAUGGAUAAUUUUCUGGAUAGGUACCACAUUUCUAAGCUAAAUCAAGACCAGAUAAACUAUUUAAAUAGGCCAAUAAUACCUAAGGAAAUAGAAACAAUCAUUAAAAGUCUC